UUUUAGGGAGACCUACACCCCUCAAAUCUUGAAAGCAAAGUGCAAAUAGAGAUUGAGAUGGUCAAACCUAGGUCGGUCGAGAUUGGUGUAAAGCUUUCAAAGGAUUAUCGGUUCGGUUUACUAAUUUAUUAGCUACAUAACUUUGGGAAAACAUUCAGCAACACGGUGGAUAGCCAGACUGCUGGGUUAGAUUCCAGCCAGAACCUUGAAAACUGCAUAGUAACGCGAAAAAUGUAGGUAGUCAGUAGUCAUUGGUCAGUGGUCAGUAGCGAAACAACUGACAACUAACAAUUAACAACUGACAGUUACAGACACCAAUAGUUUGUGAUG
RNAcentral lists this unclassified non-coding RNA (330 nucleotides) under Trichormus sp. HA7287-LM1. RNAcentral describes it as "16S-23S ribosomal RNA intergenic spacer". The record is from RNAcentral. Lineage: Bacteria; Bacillati; Cyanobacteriota; Cyanophyceae; Nostocales; Nostocaceae.